GACGAACGCUGGCGGCGUGCCUAAUACAUGCAAGUCGAGCGAAUCUUGAGGUGCUUGCACCUCUUGGUUAGCGGCGGACGGGUGAGUAACACGUGGGCAACCUGCCUGUAAGACUGGGAUAACUUNGGGAAACCGGAGCUAAUACCGGAUAAUUCUUUUCCUCUCAUGAGGAAAAGCUGAAAGUCGGUUUACGCUGACACUUACAGAUGGGCCCGCGGCGCAUUAGCUAGUUGGUGAGGUAACGGCUCACCAAGGCGACUAUNCGUAGCCGACCUGNNAGGGUGAUCGGCCACAC
This 295-nucleotide ribosomal RNA is filed under the name uncultured soil bacterium. RNAcentral's name for it is "partial 16S ribosomal RNA". It matches the Rfam family "Bacterial small subunit ribosomal RNA", at positions 28 to 313 of the family's 1533-position model. The record is from RNAcentral.